This 467-nucleotide ribosomal RNA is filed under the name uncultured bacterium. Its description in RNAcentral is "partial 16S ribosomal RNA". It matches the Rfam family "Bacterial small subunit ribosomal RNA", at positions 28 to 507 of the family's 1533-position model. The record is from RNAcentral.
GACGAACGCUGGCGGCGUGCUUAACACAUGCAAGUCGAACGGAAAGGCCUCUUUCGGGGGGUACUCGAGUGGCGAACGGGUGAGUAACACGUGUAUAACCUCCCCUUGUCUUUGGGAUAACUUCAGGAAACUGGGGCUAAUACCGGAUAGGAGCUCCUGCUGCGUGGGGGGGUUUGGAACGUUGCGGGGGUUGGGGAUGGACUCGCGGCUUAUCAGCUUGUUGGGGGGGUAGUGGCUUCCCAAGGCUUUGACGGGGCGCCGGGCGGGGGGGGUGACCGGCCAACUUGGGGAUUGGGAACGGGCCCGGAUCCUACGGGGGGGAAGCAGGGGGGAAAUUGGAAAAUGGGGGGGAGGCUGGUGCAGCAACGGCCGGGGCGGGAUGGCGGGCUUCGGGUUGGAAACCGCUUUCCGCAGGGACGGAAGUUUUUGUGACGGUAAGUGGGGAAGAAGGACCGGCUAACUACGUG